Molecule: ribosomal RNA, 490 nt
Filed under: Listeria monocytogenes
Lineage: Bacteria; Bacillati; Bacillota; Bacilli; Caryophanales; Listeriaceae
Description: partial 23S ribosomal RNA
Rfam family: Bacterial large subunit ribosomal RNA
Source: RNAcentral
ACACGUGAAAUUCCGUCGGAAUCCGGGAGGACCAUCUCCCAAGGCUAAAUACUCCCUAGUGACCGAUAGUGAACCAGUACCGUGAGGGAAAGGUGAAAAGCACCCCGGAAGGGGAGUGAAACAGUUCCUGAAACCGUGUGCCUACAAGUAGUUAGAGCCCGUUAAUGGGUGAUAGCGUGCCUUUUGUAGAAUGAACCGGCGAGUUACGAUUUGUUGCAAGGUUAAGCGGAAAAAGCGGAGCCGUAGCGAAAGCGAGUCUGAAUAGGGCGCAUAAGUAACAGGUCGUAGACCCGAAACCAGGUGAUCUACCCAUGUCCAGGAUGAAGGUAAGGUAAUACUUACUGGAGGUCCGAACCCACGCACGUUGAAAAGUGCGGGGAUGAGGUGUGGGUAGCGGAGAAAUUCCAAUCGAACUUGGAGAUAGCUGGUUCUCUCCGAAAUAGCUUUAGGGCUAGCCUCGAGGUAAAGAGUCAUGGAGGUAGAGCACUGU